Molecule: small nucleolar RNA, 132 nt
Filed under: Castor canadensis (American beaver)
Lineage: Eukaryota; Metazoa; Chordata; Mammalia; Rodentia; Castoridae
Description: Small nucleolar RNA SNORA51 (ENSCCNG00000021557.1)
Rfam family: Small nucleolar RNA SNORA51
About the family: ACA51 is a member of the H/ACA class of snoRNA that guide the sites of modification of uridines to pseudouridines.
Source: Rfam by way of RNAcentral
GGCCUCCUUGGUGCUUACCACAGGCUGUGUUCUUAUGCUGACCGUACAGAAAGAGGAGGCAAAGUAUACCUAGCCCAUGUGUACCUCAGCCCAGGCCCUGUGCCUGGUCUGUAUUGUGAAUGGGGGACAUGG